Macrobrachium nipponense is the source of this 315-nucleotide long non-coding RNA. RefSeq lists it as uncharacterized. The record is from RefSeq and is a predicted model, not a curated record. NCBI's taxonomy places the organism in Eukaryota, Metazoa, Arthropoda, Malacostraca, Decapoda, Palaemonidae. The transcript is spliced from 2 exons.
AUUACUGUAUGUAACUUACUAUGCAUAGAGUACUUACUGACAUACUAAUUAUUUUUUGUACAUUCCAGAACCCCCUGAAUGAUGUAGGCUAUGGGGCCACAUAAGACUUUGUGCAUCCAGGGUUACGUUGAACGACAAAUUUAAACUAAAAAGCUACCAGACUGGGAUUUUAGUGUACUCCAGGAUCUAACAAAUACUACUACGAAGUGUACAGUGCAUAAUAUAGUGUUUAGUGUAUAAUCUAACCUAAGGAUUAAGUGUAGUACAUUGUGCUUUAUAGUGUCACAAGAGUUUAAUAAAGAAUUAUACCUUCAA